Molecule: ribosomal RNA, 493 nt
Filed under: uncultured bacterium
Lineage: Bacteria
Description: partial 16S ribosomal RNA
Rfam family: Bacterial small subunit ribosomal RNA
Source: RNAcentral
AUUGAACGCUGGCGGCAUGCUUUACACAUGCAAGUCGAACGGUAACAGGUUAAGCUGACGAGUGGCGAACGGGUGAGUAAUGCAUCGGAACGUGCCCGAUCGUGGGGGAUAACGCAGCGAAAGCUGAGCUAAUACCGCAUACGAUCUGAGGAUGAAAGCGGGGGACCGGAAGGUCUCGCGCGAUCGGAGCGGCCGAUGUCAGAUUAGGGAGUUGGUGGGGUAAAGGCUCACCAAGCCAACGAUCUGUAGCUGGUCUGAGAGGACGACCAGCCACACUUGAGCUGGGACACGGCCCAGACUCCUACGGGAGGCAGCAGUGGGGAAUUUUGGACAAUGGGCGAAAGCCUGAUCCAGCAAUGCCGCGUGCAGGAAGAAGGCCUUCGGGUUGUAAACUGCUUUUGUACGGAGCGAAAAGGCUCUCUCUAAUACAGGGGGCUCAUGACGGUACCGUAAGAAUAAGCACCGGCUAACUACGUGCCAGCCGCCGCCGUAA